CCUGGGAGGGGAUGAGAGAAGCAGUGAAGCACUAUGGGAUGGCACUGUGAGGACCAGAGGGAAUAAAUUUGAAAAUUAAAAGUAAUAUUUCACUCACAAAUCAAAUAAUAAUUUGAGAUUUAGAAGUUGUGUUUUUGUCCUGGUGUCAAUAAAGUAUGGACUCUAUUGUUUAUUAGUCAACACUCAUUAUUUUAAUAAUACUUUUAAUAAAGAAGUCACUUUUUAACUGCUCAUCUAAACAAAGCUUGGGUUUUUUGAUACUACCAGACUUCAGCAGCAGGUGGAGCUGUUUCAACAGUUCCUGAAACACAGGAAGCCAAAGUUGUCACAGCACUUGGUGAGAACUUUUUAUUAUUCAUGAACGUUUCUGCCUCUAUCCCUAACAUACUUCCUGCAGGUGGCGCUGGGUGUCUCAUCAAUUCACUUUGUGAUGCCCUGGUUCCUCACCUCGCUGCCCUGCUGGGAUCCUGUCCUGACUGUGUGGGACUACAUUUAUCCAGCCUGGCCUGUCUGCUGUGUUUGGCACUGCACUGACCGUCAUUGAUCUUCUGGAGGCUCAACUGAUGGAGCUGAACCAUGAAGGAUCAGUGUUGACUCUGCUGCUCAGAUGGUGCCGACUACAAGGUUCUGGUCCCGACUCUAUGGGAGAUCCUGGUCCAGGACUGGAAGGACUAGUAGACUCUACAACCACAGAACCAAAUCAGGAGCUUAAAGAGUUCUGACCCGGUGGUCCGUCUGGCCCAGCAGUACCUGUUCAACCACAACUCAAGCCCAGUCCGGCGUCCAGACAGGUCCGACUACUGACGACCUGGACGUCACCAACAAAAGCUCAGCCAGGAGGUGGAGCCUGUGUGUGGGCAGAGGUCAGCAGCCCGUAUGUGAGGGCAGGAGCAGGAGUGAUGUCAUUGUGUCGGUGUGGGAAAAUUGACAGGGUGUGUUUUUCCAAAUUAAAAUCACGGCUGAGCCAGUGCCACACAAACAGUUCCACCGGUGACAGAAACCUGGUUCCAGAGGUCGUCUCUCCUGGGGUUCUGGAGUCGUUUGUAUAUGAAUAUAAACCAAUUCGUAGACGGUUCACCACCGAGAGGCGCCACCUAUAAAAACACAACAAUUCUGAUUGAUCUUCUCUUUCACCCCCAGUGGGAGUGUACUGCAGCUUUACCAACGUGAAAGAUAAUCUUAUCCAAGUCACAGAUGUUUCUGACUGAUGUAGGAUGGACAGCAGAGACAGACACUUCAGUGAUGGAGGAACGGGUGCACAACAUAAGAAAUACUCUCCUCCACCUUCUCCGGAGAAGGAAACGAAUUGGUGAUGUCACAGCUCCGAGGCUGAUUGAAGCUGACCAAAGUGACUCAACAGCAGAAAAGAUCCGACUGUGAAUCACCUGUGACCAAAGACUCUGCUGUGAGUUCCACUCAGCUCCAGGUGAAGGAUUUUCAGCGAAGUCAACGCAUUGAUGGAGCGAACAAAUGAACCUUGAUUACUUCGAUUCAAGACCUCCAGUCUUUAAUUGAGAACCCUACAGACACCAACAGAGUGCCGGCCUCGAUGGACCCUGUUGUCCAAAAACAGCUACCAGGCAAAAAUGGUGAAAUGACUACACACUAGAGGAAAAUGUGGUGUUUUAAAAUAUCUGAAUAACCACAAGGAAGAGAUGGGCAGAUUCAAGUGCUGGAAAGGAAUGGAGGAGCUUAAGGGUUGACCAAUCAGAGCUGGAACUCAAUGAAAAGCCACUGAGGUGCUCUGAGCAAGGCACCAUCCCCACACACUGCUCCCCAGGCGCUUAAAGGUUGCCCACUGUUCAAAAGAAGCAAGAGAACAAUGAGGUGAAUAGAACUGAGACUGAAGUAAUUUUGAUGUCAAGUUUUCUUUGUUGUUACAAGGGCAAAAAUGUUAGGUUGUUUUGGAUGCAGCCACUUGAGAGAAGUAUG
Cynoglossus semilaevis (tongue sole) is the source of this 1932-nucleotide long non-coding RNA. RefSeq lists it as uncharacterized. The record is from RefSeq and is a predicted model, not a curated record. The transcript is spliced from 14 exons. Lineage: Eukaryota; Metazoa; Chordata; Actinopteri; Pleuronectiformes; Cynoglossidae.